GGAUGUGAGGGCGAUCUGGCUGCGACAUCUGUCACCCCAUUGAUCGCCAGGGUUGAUUCGGCUGAUCUGGCUGGCUAGGCGGGUGUCCCCCUCCUCCCUCACCGAUCCAUGUGCGUCCCUCCCGAAGCUGCGCGCUCGGUCGAAGAGGACGACCUUCCCCCCCCCCCCCCCAGGAGAGGACCGGUCUUCGGUCAAGGGUAUACGAGUAGCUGCGCUCCCCUGCUAGAACCUCCAAACAAGCUCUCAUAAACUGUACACCUGAUUUUCGUAACGCAUACUUCAUAUACUCUAUUUAAAUCCAUUCAAUGACUAUCCACGACGUUGAGAAUAAAAU
This is an unclassified non-coding RNA of Myotis lucifugus (little brown bat), 334 nucleotides long. Its record names the gene 7SK. It matches the Rfam family "7SK RNA". Rfam says of the family: 7SK was discovered as an abundant small nuclear RNA in the mid-70s but a possible function has only recently been suggested. Two independent studies have found that 7SK RNA binds the CDK9/cyclin T complex (known as elongation factor P-TEFb). Lineage: Eukaryota; Metazoa; Chordata; Mammalia; Chiroptera; Vespertilionidae. The record is from Ensembl.